UACUAGCAGUCCAAGUCGCAGCCACAAUUAUUGGGUCUAAAACAUCCGUAGCUUGCUUGAUAAGUUUCCUGUGACAUCCUAUCUCUUAAGGGUGAGAUGUGCAUGA
This 106-nucleotide ribosomal RNA is filed under the name uncultured archaeon. RNAcentral describes it as "partial 16S ribosomal RNA". The record is from RNAcentral.